GGAACAUUUACUCAGCUCUUGCUUUCAAGAAAAUUACAUAUUGGCUCGGGAGAUGAGAUAAAUGAAAAGGAAGCAGAUGAUCUGUUACAGGAGAGAUAACACCAUAAGCCCAACACUCACAAAAGCCGGACUGGCCUCCUUGAUCAACUGGGUCUGACCACUGCCACUGUCGUCAACCAUCUGGCGAGGAACUGUCUUCUCCAGAGAGAGACUGCCCUGUGUGCCAGACUCUAAAAUCAAACCAGGUUGCAAUUCAUCUUUCUUUACCGCAUGACCUUGGGUAAGUCAUGUGAUCUCCACCAUGUAACUUCAUUUAUGGAAUGAAGAUAAUUCUAAGAGCUACUGCAUAAGGAUUUUGUAAAGAUCAGUGAGACAAUACAUACAAAGAGCCCAGCAUUUAAGGAUUCAAUAAGUAUUAGCUAUUAAUUUAAUAAGAGGCAAAGAGUCAAACUUAGCUCAGAGGUUAAAAGUGCACUCUUUGGAGCCCUGUUGUUGAGUUUAAAAAUUUCAUUUGGAGAUUGAUGACUUGGGCGUCCUAUUUAAUCUCAACCCCACCUUGUUUUCCUUAUCUGUGAAAUAGAGUGAGGUAAUAGUCU
Molecule: long non-coding RNA, 596 nt
Filed under: Chinchilla lanigera (long-tailed chinchilla)
Lineage: Eukaryota; Metazoa; Chordata; Mammalia; Rodentia; Chinchillidae
Description: lncRNA (ENSCLAG00000025719.1)
Source: RNAcentral